AGAAGGAUUCAAAGGUAUGGUUUUUUGUUGAGAAUUGUAUGAACUCCAAACUCUGUAAUCAGAGUGAUGGUGGUGUACAACUCAUCCAGCAAGUUCAAGG
Long non-coding RNA from Lagopus leucura (white-tailed ptarmigan), 100 nucleotides. RefSeq lists it as uncharacterized. The record is from RefSeq and is a predicted model, not a curated record. Lineage: Eukaryota; Metazoa; Chordata; Aves; Galliformes; Phasianidae. The transcript is spliced from 3 exons.